This 253-nucleotide ribosomal RNA is filed under the name uncultured bacterium. Its description in RNAcentral is "partial 16S ribosomal RNA". It matches the Rfam family "Bacterial small subunit ribosomal RNA", at positions 524 to 776 of the family's 1533-position model. The record is from RNAcentral.
UACGUAGGGCGCAAGCGUUAUCCGGAAUUAUUGGGCGUAAAGAGCUCGUAGGCGGUUUGUCGCGUCUGCCGUGAAAGUCCGGGGCUCAACUCCGGAUCUGCGGUGGGUACGGGCAGACUAGGGUGAUGUAGGGGAGACUGGAAUUCCUGGUGUAGCGGUGGAAUGCGCAGAUAUCAGGAGGAACACCGAUGGCGAAGGCAGAUCUCUGGGCCGUAACUGACGCUGAGGAGCGAAAGCGUGGGGAGCGAACAGG